This 303-nucleotide ribosomal RNA is filed under the name uncultured bacterium. Its description in RNAcentral is "partial 16S ribosomal RNA". It matches the Rfam family "Bacterial small subunit ribosomal RNA", at positions 507 to 807 of the family's 1533-position model. The record is from RNAcentral.
AGCAGUAGCCGCGGUAAUACGUAGGGUGCGAGCGUUAAUCGGAAUUACUGGGCGUAAAGCGUGCGCAGGCGGUUGUGUAAGACAGGUGUGAAAUCCCCGGGCUUAACCUGGGAACUGCGCUUGUGACUGCACAGCUAGAGUAUGGCAGAGGGGGGUGGAAUUCCACGUGUAGCAGUGAAAUGCGUAGAGAUGUGGAGGAACACCGAUGGCGAAGGCAGCCCCCUGGGCCAAUACUGACGCUCAUGCACGAAAGCGUGGGGAGCAAACAGGAUUAGAUACCCCCGUAGUCCCUGUCUCUUAUAC